UACGUAGGGUGCGAGCGUUGUCCGGAAUUAUUGGGCGUAAAGAGCUCGUAGGCGGCUUGUCGCAUCGACUGUGAAAACCCGCGGCUCAACCGUGUGGUCUGCAGUCGAUACGGGCAGGCUAGAGUUCGGUAGGGGAGACUGGAAUUCCUGGUGUAGCGGUGAAAUGCGCAGAUAUCAGGAAGAACACCUAUGGCGAAGGCAGCUCUCUGGGACGGUACUGACGCUGAGACGCGAAAGCGUGGGGAGCGAACAGG
RNAcentral lists this ribosomal RNA (254 nucleotides) under uncultured bacterium. Its description in RNAcentral is "partial 16S ribosomal RNA". It matches the Rfam family "Bacterial small subunit ribosomal RNA", at positions 524 to 776 of the family's 1533-position model. The record is from RNAcentral.